This 460-nucleotide long non-coding RNA is filed under the name Brassica napus (rape). Its description in RNAcentral is "long non-coding RNA (BNAP_LNC016647)". Lineage: Eukaryota; Viridiplantae; Streptophyta; Magnoliopsida; Brassicales; Brassicaceae. The record is from RNAcentral.
UAUAUGAUUAGGGAAGCAUUAUCUUCCUCCACAAAUCACAAAUCUAUCUGGAGUAAUAAUUUAUAAGGAAACCAUGAUUCCUUCUUUAAGUUCUUGUGCUUUUUAAGCUUCAUGUGAUCAUUUUAUUGAAAGAUAGAUUGCUUGAGAUAUUCAGAUAUCUAACUAAAUGGUUCACCCACCGCACCUUGAACUCCUCAUCACUCAUCUCACAAAGUUUACUCUCAAAACUUCUUUGAUAAAAACUCCACUCCCGUAUCUAUUGUAAGAGUAUGGAAAGUGUAUAAUCAUUAACGUCUAUCAACGGCUAUAUCGUCUGUAAUUAGUCUAUUGUAUCUCCUAGAAUAUUGCCUUGCCUUUCUUGUAAUCAUCUCUGUACAUAUAAGAACAGAGCUCCUUACUCAAUUAUAUUCAUUCAAUUCCAAUACUCAAUAUGGUAUCAGAGCCCUAUAGGUGAAAACCU